Molecule: ribosomal RNA, 253 nt
Filed under: uncultured bacterium
Lineage: Bacteria
Description: partial 16S ribosomal RNA
Rfam family: Bacterial small subunit ribosomal RNA
Source: RNAcentral
UACAGAGGUCUCAAGCGUUGUUCGGAUUCAUUGGGCGUAAAGGGUGCGUAGGUGGCUUGGUAAGUCGGAUGUGAAAUCCCGGGGCUCAACCCCGGAACUGCAUUCGAUACUGCCAGGCUAGAGUACUGGAGAGGAGAUUGGAAUUUACGGUGUAGCAGUGAAAUGCGUAGAUAUCGUAAGGAAGACCAGUGGCGAAGGCGGAUCUCUGGACAGUUACUGACACUGAGGCACGAAGGCCAGGGGAGCAAACGGG